GCGCCCGUGGCGCAACUGGAUAGCGCGUUUCCCUGCUACGGAUGAGGUCCGGGUUCGAGUCCCGGCGGGCGCU
Molecule: transfer RNA, 73 nt
Filed under: Gemmatimonadota bacterium
Lineage: Bacteria; Pseudomonadati; Gemmatimonadota
Description: Gemmatimonadetes bacterium (activated sludge metagenome) tRNA-Ser
Rfam family: tRNA
About the family: Transfer RNA (tRNA) molecules are approximately 80 nucleotides in length. Their secondary structure includes four short double-helical elements and three loops (D, anti-codon, and T loops). Further hydrogen bonds mediate the characteristic L-shaped molecular structure. tRNAs have two regions of fundamental functional importance: the anti-codon, which is responsible for specific mRNA codon recognition, and the 3' end, to which the tRNAs corresponding amino acid is attached (by aminoacyl-tRNA synthetases). tRNAs cope with the degeneracy of the genetic code in two manners: having more than one tRNA (with a specific anti-codon) for a particular amino acid; and 'wobble' base-pairing, i.e. permitting non-standard base-pairing at the 3rd anti-codon position.
Source: RNAcentral